CCUACGGGAGGCAGCAGUGAGGAAUAUUGGUCAAUGGCCGUAAGGCUGAACCAGCCAAGUCGCGGGAAGGAAGAAGGAUCUAUGGUUUGUAAACUUCUUUUAUAGGGGAAUAAAGGUAUCCACGUGUGGAUAUUUGCAUGUACCCUAUGAAUAAGCAUCGGCUAACUCCGUGCCAGCAGCCGCGGUAAUACGGAGGAUGCGAGCGUUAUCCGGAUUUAGUGGGUUUAAAGGGUGCGUAGGUUUGUUUUUAAGUCAGCGGUGAAAGUUUGUGGCUCAACCAUAAAAUUGCCGUUGAAACUGGAAGACUUGAGUGUGUUUGAGGUAGGCGGAAUGCGUGGUGUAGCGGUGAAAUGCAUAGAUAUCACGCAGAACUCCGAUUGCGAAGGCAGCUUACUAAGCCAUAACUGACACUGAAGCACGAAAGCGUGGGGAUCAAACAGGAUUAGAUACCCCUGUAGUC
This 460-nucleotide ribosomal RNA is filed under the name uncultured bacterium. Its description in RNAcentral is "partial 16S ribosomal RNA". It matches the Rfam family "Bacterial small subunit ribosomal RNA", at positions 338 to 795 of the family's 1533-position model. The record is from RNAcentral.